Molecule: ribosomal RNA, 440 nt
Filed under: uncultured bacterium
Lineage: Bacteria
Description: SSU rRNA
Rfam family: Bacterial small subunit ribosomal RNA
Source: RNAcentral
AGAGCGAACGCUGGCGGCAGGCCUAAUACAUGCAAGUCGAACGGACCCUUCGGGGUUAGUGGCGGACGGGUGAGUAACACGUGGGAACGUGCCCUUUGGUUCGGAACAACUCAGGGAAACUUGAGCUAAUACCGAAUGUGCCCUUUGGGGGAAAGAUUUAUCGCCAUUGGAGCGGCCCGCGUCUGAUUAGCUAGUUGGUGAGGUAAAGGCUCACCAAGGCGACGAUCAGUAGCUGGUCUGAGAGGAUGAUCAGCCACACUGGGACUGAGACACGGCCCAGACUCCUACGGGAGGCAGCAGUAGGGAAUCUGCGCAAUGGGCGAAAGCCUGACGCAGCCAUGCCGCGUGAAUGAUGAAGGUCUUAGGAUUGUAAAAUUCUUUCAGCGGGGACGAUAAUGACGGUACCGCAGAAGAGCCCGCUAACUCGCGCCAGCAGCCGC